CUGAGUUCUAUUUCCCAUCAAGCUUCAGUGCAGUCAUUUUCCCCCAAGGAUGACCAUAUGUUGCGUCUGGUCUUUGUAAGAGGACCAGAAAGUAGCAAAAUGUAUUAGAAAUAUUUGAUUAGCAGAUAUAUUUUUUCAAAAGAUCAACUACAAUUAUGACAUGAGAAAUUUCUCUAAAAAUGUAAUUUUUCAGUCGUGUCUGAUCUCUGUUUUGUCUGAGAUCAGGAUGAAACCAUGUUGCUCAGUCUCAAACUGUCAGCUUGUCUCUUUCUUUCAGUGACUUUUAUAUUCCUCUUUGGGCUUAAAGUAUUGAGAAUUCAUUUU
RNAcentral lists this long non-coding RNA (324 nucleotides) under Bos taurus (domestic cattle). RNAcentral describes it as "long non-coding RNA NONBTAT023813". Lineage: Eukaryota; Metazoa; Chordata; Mammalia; Artiodactyla; Bovidae. The record is from RNAcentral.